GAUGAACGCUAGCUACAGGCUUAACACAUGCAAGUCGAGGGGAAACGACAUCGAAAGCUUGCUUUUGAUGGGCGUCGACCGGCGCACGGGUGAGUAACGCGUAUCCAACCUGCCCACCACUUGGGGAUAACCUUGCGAAAGUAAGACUAUACCCAAUAAUAUCUCUAGAAGACAUCUGAAAGAGAUUAAAGAUUUAUCGGUGAUGGAUGGGGAUGCGUCUGAUUAGCUUGUUGGCGGGGUAACGGCCCACCAAGGCUACGAUCAGUAGGGGUUCUGAGAGGAAGGUCCCCCACAUUGGAACUGAGACACGGUCCAAACUCCUACGGGAGGCAGCAGUGAGGAAUAUUGGUCAAUGGGCGAGAGCCUGAACCAGCCAAGUAGCGUGCAGGAUGACGGCCCUAUGGGUUGUAAACUGCUUUUAUAAGGGAAUAAAGUGAGCCUCGUGAGGCUUUUUGCAUGUACCUUAUGAAUAAGGACCGGCUAAUUCCGUGCCAGCCGCCGCAGUAA
RNAcentral lists this ribosomal RNA (507 nucleotides) under uncultured bacterium. RNAcentral describes it as "partial 16S ribosomal RNA". It matches the Rfam family "Bacterial small subunit ribosomal RNA", at positions 28 to 523 of the family's 1533-position model. The record is from RNAcentral.